RNAcentral lists this ribosomal RNA (454 nucleotides) under uncultured bacterium. Its description in RNAcentral is "partial 16S ribosomal RNA". It matches the Rfam family "Bacterial small subunit ribosomal RNA", at positions 28 to 507 of the family's 1533-position model. The record is from RNAcentral.
GAUGAACGCUGACAGAAUGCUUAACACAUGCAAGUCAACUUGAACUUCGGUUUGGGUGGCGGACGGGUGAGUAACGCGUACAGAACUUGCCUCACAGAUAGGGACAACAUUUGGAAACGAAUGCUAAUACCUGAUAUUAUGAUUAUAUGGCAUCGUAUAAUUAUGAAAGCUAUAUGCGCUGUGAGAGAGCUUUGCGUCCCAUUAGCUAGUUGGAGAGGUAACGGCUCACCAAGGCGAUGAUGGGUAGCCGGCCUGAGAGGGUGAUCGGCCACAAGGGGACUGAGACACGGACCUUACUCCUACGGGAAGCAGCAGUGGGGAAUAUUGGACAAUGGACCAAGAGUCUGAUCCAGCAAUUCUGUGUGCACGAUGAAGUUUUUCGGAAUGUAAAGUGCUUUCAGUUAGGAAGAAAAAAAUGACGGUACCAACAGAAGAAGUGACGGCUAAAUACGUG